CCUACGGGAGGCAGCAGUGGGGAAUAUUGGGCAAUGGGCGCAAGCCUGACCCAGCAACGCCGCGUGAAGGAAGAAGGCUUUCGGGUUGUAAACUUCUUUUCUGAGGGACGAAGAAAGUGACGGUACCCCAGGAAUAAGCCACGGCUAACUACGGGCCAGCAGCCGCGGUAAUACGUAGGUGGCAAGCGUUAUCCGGCUAUAUUGGGUGUAAAGGGCGUGUAGGCGGGAAAGCAAGUCAGAUGUGAAAACUGAGGGCUCAACCCUGGGCCGGCAUUUGAAACUGUUAUUCUUGAGUGCUGGAGAGGCAAUCGGAAUUCCGGGUGUAGCGGUGAAAUGCGUAGAUAUACGGAGGAACACCAGUGGCGAAGGCGGAUUGCUGGACAGUAACUGACGCUGAGGCGCGAAAGCGUGGGGAGCAAACAGGAUUAGAUACCCGUGUAGUC
This 443-nucleotide ribosomal RNA is filed under the name uncultured bacterium. RNAcentral describes it as "partial 16S ribosomal RNA". It matches the Rfam family "Bacterial small subunit ribosomal RNA", at positions 338 to 795 of the family's 1533-position model. The record is from RNAcentral.